RNAcentral lists this ribosomal RNA (274 nucleotides) under uncultured bacterium. Its description in RNAcentral is "partial 16S ribosomal RNA". It matches the Rfam family "Bacterial small subunit ribosomal RNA", at positions 523 to 796 of the family's 1533-position model. The record is from RNAcentral.
AUACGGAGGGUGCAAGCGUUGUUCGGAAUCACUGGGCGUAAAGGGCGCGUAGGCGGCCUGAUUAGUCAGAUGUGAAAGCCCACGGCUUAACCGUGGAAGUGCAUUUGAAACUGUCAGGCUUGAGUAUCAGAGGGGAAAGUGGAAUUCCCGGUGUAGAGGUGAAAUUCGUAGAUAUCGGGAGGAAUACCGGUGGCGAAGGCGACUUUCUGGCUGAAUACUGACGCUGAGGCGCGAAAGCGUGGGGAGCAAGCAGGAUUAGAAACCCUAGUAGUCC